AACGAACGCUGGCGGCAUGCCUAACACAUGCAAGUCGAACGAGACCUUCGGGUCUAGUGGUGCACGGGUGCGUAACGCGUGGGAAUCUGCCCUUCGGUUGGGAAUAACUGAGAGAAAUUUCAGCUAAUACCUUAUAAUGUCUUCGGACCAAAGAUUUAUCGCCGAGGGAUGAGCCCGCGUAGGAUUAGGUAGUUGGUGGGGUAAUGGCCUACCAAGCCGACGAUCCUUAGCUGGUCUGAGAGGAUGAUCAGCCACACUGGGACUGAGACACGGCCCAGACUCCUACGGGAGGCAGCAGUGGGGAAUAUUGGACAAUGGGCGAAAGCCUGAUCCAGCAAUGCCGCGUGAGUGAUGAAGGCCUUAGGGUUGUAAAGCUCUUUUACCCGGGAUGAUAAUGACAGUACCGGGAGAAUAAGCUCCGGCUAACUCCGUG
RNAcentral lists this ribosomal RNA (433 nucleotides) under uncultured bacterium. Its description in RNAcentral is "partial 16S ribosomal RNA". It matches the Rfam family "Bacterial small subunit ribosomal RNA", at positions 29 to 507 of the family's 1533-position model. The record is from RNAcentral.